GGCUCUCGUUCCUUUGCGUGUCCCAGGCUGGGAGCAUUUGCAUGUGUACCCCUGAGGCACACGUCAGCCCUUGCUCUCUUGCCAUCUCCGUUGCUCCCAUCAGCUGUCUGCCUUUGCUUUCCAUCUCUGUCCAACACUGCCUCCCUGGGCUCUGCAGCAUCUCCGCCCUCCUCAGCCAUUCCUACUCAAAAGCUCUUUUCACCACUUGGUAAGCCUCCUAACAAAAGUGGCUUGUCCUUGUGAAUCUUCUUCUUUUUGUCCCCCUCCGCUGCCGUGUUUAGGAAGAACAGCGCCAGAAGCUAGUCAACAGCCUCAGGGGAAAGCUGAGGCCAUACCGAGGCUUCCUUUACCCACUGCCACGGACAUUGCCACGGUAAUGAGUUCCUCCCUUCCUGGCACACUUGUCCCAGCAGCAGCAGGAGACUUGUGGGAACACAGGGCUCCAGCAUCAGUGCGGCUGGUGUGGCCUCGCUGUUCUGGCCCGCGCGGUCCUGCUGUCCCUGAGUAGGGCCUUUCCAUAGGCCUCCCAGCAGCAGUUUCUCCUGGCCCUCCUGGCCACCAGCAAGCCCCGCAUAUCUCCAGGGCCAGCACCCUGGGCCCGUGCCUCCAACCCUGGUCCCUCACCCCGAGGGCUCUUCUCAGCCCCCACCACGCAGGGACUGCAGCCCCUGCUUCCUGCUUUCCCGUGGGCACUGCUGCCAGCACGCUCAGGCAUCUGUCUCCAGAGCUGCUCUCACCGCUCAGUUCUGCAGCACCAUCGGGGCACUUGCUGCAACGUGUCUUACGUCCCUUCCUCCUUGCAGAACUUUGGAAAAUACCUCCAGCAGUCUCAGAGGACAGACGUCAUCCUCAAGGUCAUUGAAGCCCUGAGAGACUCCAACACAUACGACAAGCAGGAGGUCAGCGGUGUGCUGGACAUGGCCAUCGAAGACCCUGCCUCCUGGCUGACCGACGUGCCAGAGAUCGUGAGGUGCAUCUACAGACACGUGGAGUGCAUCAACACGGCAUCAGCCCGGCGCAGCCUGGACAACCUCAUCCUCUGUCUGGCCAACCAGCGGCCAAGGGAGGUGGCCAGCACCCUGCUGCAGAUGUGGCCAUCAUCUG
RNAcentral lists this long non-coding RNA (1104 nucleotides) under Anas platyrhynchos platyrhynchos (common mallard). RNAcentral describes it as "lncRNA (ENSAPLG00000018973.1)". The record is from RNAcentral. Lineage: Eukaryota; Metazoa; Chordata; Aves; Anseriformes; Anatidae.